AGGGUGUUAGGCAAAAGCUGUCCAGGAAGGGUGACCCACCUUCUCUUUAAGAGCUCUGCCAGGUCCUCAGCAGAAAAGAUGGCUGAUCUUAACCAUGAAUAGCAAUAAUGGGGAUGCUACAGACCUUCAUCAGGGUUUAUCUAAACUGUAUCAGCCAGAGAGAAUCUUAAUGGUCACUGCAACACAUCAAAUAGACCCCAGCUCAGCUAAAUUAUGUGGUCUGGAAGUCAGGUUUAAUUAUAACCUUUGCUGUCAAUCCUGACACACGAAGCUGUAAACAAAUAAGAAUUCCCUCUGAAGCUCACCAAGCCAUCUUGAAGUUUGCACUGGAUUUGCUGAUUUUAAGCAGUUGGAGGAGUGGAUUCUUCAUGAUCUCUCAGCUCUGUGAGUCUGUAAAGUUGCUUCUGGCUCAUGUCCAAUUCAAGGCAACAAUAAAUUGUUUUAGUCUUUUACA
Molecule: long non-coding RNA, 454 nt
Filed under: Parus major (Great Tit)
Lineage: Eukaryota; Metazoa; Chordata; Aves; Passeriformes; Paridae
Description: lncRNA (ENSPMJG00000003332.1)
Source: RNAcentral